Long non-coding RNA from Carya illinoinensis, 911 nucleotides. RefSeq lists it as uncharacterized. NCBI's taxonomy places the organism in Eukaryota, Viridiplantae, Streptophyta, Magnoliopsida, Fagales, Juglandaceae. The transcript is spliced from 2 exons. The record is from RefSeq and is a predicted model, not a curated record.
UGAGUUAUUCUACGCAUCCAUAACUGUAGAGGUGCACACUUUACACACCAUACGUGGCGUCUUCUUUUUCUUUUUUUUUUCUUUUUUUUUUCGUUUAUGCUAAAAUUAGCAUUUGAAUUUUGAACCAUCGAUGUAUUGAACCCAUCGUACUCCCGCGUCCCCCUCCCUCCCUUUCGUCGCCUAGCACACUCAAGCGUCACCGUCCCUAUCGUUGCCCAACAACGGCGACUCAUCGGCCUGCCUCUGACCAUCGCCGCUUAGCCUUUUUUCCCCACAGUCCAUUUCAAACAAGGGGGAGUUCAUGGGGACCACUCGUCACCCAACACCCGCGUCGCCGUCCCUCUCGUUGCCCAGCACCCGCAAGCCUUCCACUGCAUAGUUCAAAUCCUUCCCCCUAUUUUGGAAGAGUUAAAGCAAAAUGAAAGUUCUCCUCUUAUUAUUUUCUGGGUUUUCUUUGGAGUGAGAAAUUGCUCCGAAUUUGGUCUUCGUAGCUCCAGAGUUUUUCUACAAAGGUACUUGAAGACACAGAGUAACAGACAGAAAGAAAAAGAGACACUUGCAGCUUGAUAAGGCCAAAGGGGUCUAGCACCAGAGAGAGCAAGCCUCCGUACUUUUCACAGACUGGAAUAUAACUAUUUGGUUUCAACCCAGGAUCGGAUUUUGGCAAGAUUGGAAGCAAAGACAAGUGGACAGUUUCUAAGGGUGUUGCAGUGAAGCUGAUUGUAUAUCUUGUAUUACUAUAGUUUGUCAAUAUUACUUUCACUAGGCCAUUGUAGGACGUUCUUUAAAUUGGAGUGAAGAUUUUUUUGUAAAUGAAAUUGAUGGCUAAUGAGAUAGUCAUUAUCAUGUGAACAGUGUACUAAUUAUAAGUGAAAUCUAAGAGUUUUCAGGAAAAGUUACUAUGCUAGCAA